CCUACGGGAGGCUGCAGUGGGGAAUAUUGGGCAAUGGGCGCAAGCCUUACCCAGCAAUACCGCGUGAGUGAAGAAGGUCUUCGGAUUGUAAAGCUCUUUUAUCAGGGACGAACAGAAGACGGUACCUGACGAACAAGCCCCGGCUAACUACGUGCCAGCAGCCGCGGUAAAACGUAGGGGGCGAGCUUUUGCCGGAAUGACUGGGCGUAAAGGGUGUGUAGGCGGCAUAAUAAGUUAGAAGUGGAAUCCCUAGGGCUUAACUCGGGUGCUGCUUCUAAGACUGUUGAGCUUGUGUGCGGGAGAGGUUAACGGAAUUCCUAGUGUAGCGGUGGAAUGCGUAGAUAUUAGGAGGAACACCAGAGGCGAAGGCGAUUAACUGGACCGUAACUGACGCUGAGGCACGAAAGUGUGGGUAGCAAACAGGAUUAGAUACCCGAGUAGUC
RNAcentral lists this ribosomal RNA (443 nucleotides) under uncultured bacterium. Its description in RNAcentral is "partial 16S ribosomal RNA". It matches the Rfam family "Bacterial small subunit ribosomal RNA", at positions 338 to 795 of the family's 1533-position model. The record is from RNAcentral.